This 582-nucleotide ribosomal RNA is filed under the name Triticum aestivum (bread wheat). Its description in RNAcentral is "partial small subunit ribosomal RNA". Lineage: Eukaryota; Viridiplantae; Streptophyta; Magnoliopsida; Poales; Poaceae. The record is from RNAcentral.
AUGGCGGCGCAGGCGUGGAAGACACGGUUCCGGGAGCGGGUGAUGCAGGCGCACGCCCGCUGCCUUAUCAUCCCCGGGAAGAUAGGCCACGCGCGGGCGAUGCUAAUGGGGCCGCUGCGCGGGCCGGUACUGCGCAGCAGUCCCAUCGAGAUCGCGGAGGAGUCGCUCGAGGACGCGGCCAGCGAUCUCUACGCCGCCGCGUCCUUGCUGGGGAGCGCCACGGAGCUCGCGCUACGCGGAGGCGCCACGGAGCUCUUCCUCCCGUCCAACCCGGUGCGCAGCAUCCGCCUCCUCCCCGGCACAGCCGCCGCGCAGCGGCGCGCCUGCCACAAGCUCCUGGCUGCCAGGCAGCUCGCCGAAGAAGCGUACGACGCCGUGGAGCUGUGCAGCGACCUCCGGCUGGGGAUCCGCUGCCUGCUGGACAUCCAGCGUCUCCCCGGCGUGGCCGAGCUCAUCGAGGCCGAGCGCCUCAGGGCCUACAACCUCCUCGCGAAGGUGAGGAAGACGGCCGACGGUUGCGUCUGGCUGGUCGCCGGCGCCCUCGAGGACCUGAGGGGUGCCGUGCCCGUGCGUGCGACUUGA